RNAcentral lists this long non-coding RNA (440 nucleotides) under Junco hyemalis (dark-eyed junco). RNAcentral's name for it is "lncRNA (ENSJHYG00000014994.1)". The record is from RNAcentral. Lineage: Eukaryota; Metazoa; Chordata; Aves; Passeriformes; Passerellidae.
CGCUGAGGGGGGGAGGGCAGCGACCGGCCCCGCGCCUCGGACCACCGGCUCUGGCCGCGGCAAGGCACCUCCGCCUCCUCCACGCGGAAAAAUCCUGCUCUGCCCGAGAAUGAGCCGCGUUUCCCGCUAAAGAUGCCUGUGUUUCUCCGGUGCUUACAUAGCGAGCCUGCUAGACUUCAGGACUUUGCUAAUCACCUCCAUCCUCUCUCAGCCUCAAAGAGAAGUUUCAGAGUGGAAUAUGGAUGCUACGUGUGACCUAAGUGACUAUUAUCAUCUGCUUCACCUACUUGUGUGACUUUAAAUAGUUAAACAAACAAAAAGAUAAUAACAGGCAUCUGAAAGAAAUAAUAAUUAUAAUGGAAAGAAUAUUCAUUGCCAUUCCUGGUGAUACUGGCAUGACAUUUUAUGGUCUUUAUACAUCUUUCAAAAUGGUUUGCGAU